Molecule: ribosomal RNA, 137 nt
Filed under: Mycobacterium marinum
Lineage: Bacteria; Bacillati; Actinomycetota; Actinomycetes; Mycobacteriales; Mycobacteriaceae
Description: partial 16S rRNA
Rfam family: Bacterial small subunit ribosomal RNA
Source: RNAcentral
CGUCAUGAAAGUCGGUAACACCCGAAGCCAGUGGCCUAACCCUUUGGGAGGGAGCUGUCGAAGGUGGGAUCGGCGAUUGGGACGAAGUCGUAACAAGGUANCCGUACCGGAAGGUGCGGCUGGAUCACCUCCUUUCU